UACGUAGGGGGCGAGCGUUGUCCGGAAUCAUUGGGCGUAAAGGGUGCGUAGGUGGCGGGGUAAGUCAGGUGUGAAAUCUCGGGGCUCAACCCCGAAACUGCACUUGAUACUGCCUUGCUCGAGUACUGGAGAGGAGAUUGGAAUUUACGGUGUAGCAGUGAAAUGCGUAGAUAUCGUAAGGAAGACCAGUGGCGAAGGCGAAUCUCUGGACAGUUACUGACACUGAGGCACGAAGGCCAGGGGAGCAAACGGG
This 253-nucleotide ribosomal RNA is filed under the name uncultured bacterium. RNAcentral describes it as "partial 16S ribosomal RNA". It matches the Rfam family "Bacterial small subunit ribosomal RNA", at positions 524 to 776 of the family's 1533-position model. The record is from RNAcentral.